RNAcentral lists this unclassified non-coding RNA (1699 nucleotides) under Oscillatoriaceae cyanobacterium BETA-8. RNAcentral's name for it is "bacterial SSU rRNA". The stretch from base 1 to 1163 matches the Rfam family "Bacterial small subunit ribosomal RNA", at positions 356 to 1533 of the family's 1533-position model. The record is from RNAcentral. Lineage: Bacteria; Bacillati; Cyanobacteriota; Cyanophyceae; Oscillatoriales; Oscillatoriaceae.
GGGGAAUUUUCCGCAAUGGGCGAAAGCCUGACGGAGCAAGACCGCGUGAGGGAGGAAGGCUCUUGGGUUGUAAACCUCUUUUCUCAGGGAAGAAGCUCUGACGGUACCCGAGGAAUCAGCAUCGGCUAACUCCGUGCCAGCAGCCGCGGUAAUACGGAGGAUGCAAGCGUUAUCCGGAUUUAUUGGGCGUAAAGCGUCCGCAGGUGGCAAUUCAAGUCUGCCGUCAAAACCAGUGGCUCAACUACUGAGAGGCGGUGGAAACUGAAUAGCUAGAGUGCGGUAGGGGUAGAGGGAAUUCCCGGUGUAGCGGUGAAAUGCGUAGAGAUCGGGAAGAACACCAGUGGCGAAAGCGCUCUGCUGGACCUGCACUGACACUGAGGGACGAAAGCUAGGGGAGCGAAUGGGAUUAGAUACCCCAGUAGUCCUAGCCGUAAACGAUGGAUACUAGGUGUGGCUCGUAUCGACCCGAGCCGUGCCGCAGCUAACGCGUUAAGUAUCCCGCCUGGGGAGUACGCACGCAAGUGUGAAACUCAAAGGAAUUGACGGGGGCCCGCACAAGCGGUGGAGUAUGUGGUUUAAUUCGAUGCAACGCGAAGAACCUUACCAGGGCUUGACAUGUCGCGAAUCUUAGGGAAACCUAAGAGUGCCUUCGGGAGCGCGAACACAGGUGGUGCAUGGCUGUCGUCAGCUCGUGUCGUGAGAUGUUGGGUUAAGUCCCGCAACGAGCGCAACCCUCGUUUUUAGUUGCCAAUAUUAAGUUAGGCACUCUAAAGAGACUGCCGGUGACAAACCGGAGGAAGGUGGGGAUGACGUCAAGUCAGCAUGCCCCUUACGUCCUGGGCUACACACGUACUACAAUGCGUUAGACAAAGGGCAGCCAAGCCGCGAGGCCGAGCUAAUCCCAGAAACUAAGGCACAGUUCAGAUCGCAGGCUGCAACUCGCCUGCGUGAAGGCGGAAUCGCUAGUAAUCGCAGGUCAGCAUACUGCGGUGAAUACGUUCCCGGGCCUUGUACACACCGCCCGUCACACCAUGGGAGUUGGUCAUGCCCGAAGUCGUUACUCCAACCCGCAAGGGAGGAGGACGCCGAAGGUGGGACUGAUGACUGGGGUGAAGUCGUAACAAGGUAGCCGUACCGGAAGGUGUGGCUGGAUCACCUCCUUUUUAGGGAGACCAGGCGUAAUCGAGAGCAAAAGCGAAAGCAAAUAGCGCUCAAUUACAGCUAUCCCAGGUCGUGCGAGGAAUUGGCAAAAGCUUUCAAACUAGCAACUGGUUCGAUAUUUAUGGGCUAUUAGCUCAGGUGGUUAGAGCGCACCCCUGAUAAGGGUGAGGUCCCUGGUUCAAGUCCAGGAUGGCCCACCUCAAACAGUAAAACAAUGGUGGGGGUAUAGCUCAGUUGGUAGAGCGCUGCCUUUGCACGGCAGAAGCCAGCGGUUCGAGUCCGCUUACCUCCAGUGGGAUAGAGCGAUUAACCCAGAAAAGUAAGGGAGUCCAGCAACUCAACUGGUGAAAAGCCAGAGAGACUGCUGGAGGAAAAACCAGCCAGAACCUAGAAAACUGCAUAGCAACUAAUAAGUCUAAACCAGCAGGUAGAGCUGGGGCUAUUUUUAGCACCAGAGCUGCCUGUGCAGGUAGAAAGAAAAAACAGUGGUCAAGCUAGAAAGAGCUGACGGUGGAUACCUAGGCACACAGAGGCGAAG